Molecule: ribosomal RNA, 256 nt
Filed under: uncultured bacterium
Lineage: Bacteria
Description: partial 16S ribosomal RNA
Rfam family: Bacterial small subunit ribosomal RNA
Source: RNAcentral
UAAUACGUAGGGAGCAAGCGUUGUCCGGAAUUACUGGGCGUAAAGGGUGCGUAGGCGGCAAGGCAAGUCAGGUGUGAAAUCCCCGGGCUUAACUCGGGGGGUGCAUUUGAAACUGCUUUGCUUGAGUACAGGAGAGGAAAGCGGAAUUCCUAGUGUAGCGGUGAAAUGCGUAGAUAUUAGGAGGAACACCAGUGGCGAAGGCGGCUUUCUGGACUGUCACUGACGCUGAGGCACGAAAGCGUGGGGAGCAAACAGG